This is a long non-coding RNA of Columba livia (rock pigeon), 1936 nucleotides long. RefSeq lists it as uncharacterized. The transcript has 4 exons. NCBI's taxonomy places the organism in Eukaryota, Metazoa, Chordata, Aves, Columbiformes, Columbidae. The record is from RefSeq and is a predicted model, not a curated record.
AGGUCGCUGCUCUGGCGCAGGUUGCUGCUCCGCCCGGGAUGGCGGCGGCGGGGCCGUGGGCCGCUGGUUACCCGGAGGCGCUGGUCGCCCCUGCCCUCGGGAGCCAGGCCUGCAGGCUCAGCCGUGUGCUGCUGUGAGGAGCGCGGGUGCGGGCAGUGACAAGAGCCCGGCUCCGGCGUGGCUGCCUGCCUCCUCAUCCACAGGCACCUUCGCUGCUGAAGAGCAGAGACAGAGCACGCCAGCUCCAACAGCUGGAGUUUCUUACCACUGAAUGGUCACAAAAAGUGGACCACCCUUGAGGAUUGCUACUCCAGAUCUGUAGUUCUGCUGCUGAGAUGGCAACAAUUGACAUGCUUCCCGAAUAAUCCACGAGUUUAUUGGACCUCUUGCUCUACCUUAUCACAUGCUCAAGGCUGGCUGCAGGAAGGCUCCGUCAUGGAGAAGGUGACGAGCUGGGGACGUGCUGUGCGGAGGAAUCCUCCCGGCCCAGACGUGUCCUGCCCUGUGCCCGCUGGGAACUCAACCAAGGACGUUUGUCCCCCGUCAGACAUCUAUCCUGCUUCUCCUCUCUUCAAAACCUGACUAACCCUUUGCCAGCAUCCAAAGAUCAUCAGAGGAGCUGACAAAGGCAUCAUCACUUCCUUUGCUGUAAUCUCCGCCUGGAUAUGACCUGACUGCCUUCAGCUAAAAUUCUGCAAGAGUUGAGAAGGUGACAGAUGCAAGAAAUGCCACAGAGUUCAGAAGCUUUAGAGAAAUAGUUAGUGCUGGAAAUUGCAAAUAGUAUAUUAGCAUCGCUGAAUGUGCUAAUAGCUGGGCCGUGCCCUGUACUGUGCCCGGGGCAGCAGGUGGAGUUCAGCGUUUCUGUCCUGAGUGGGCAGAGGGCAGGAACCUGUGCCCCGAACCCGCUCCCUUGGCAGCACUGACCCCGCCGUGCCCGGGGGAGAAAUGGGGGUGACAGAGCAAAACCAACUGGAUUCAGCGCCCGGUUAUUGUUCAAGGUGAGUGAGGAAGCCCACGUCACACUGGGUAUUCUGUCUCACCUCUAGUUGUUGUGGAGCAUGACUGUGGUACGGCAGGAGGAUGGACAGGGAGGAGGCCUGGGUUUGACUGGCGUCUGAAACACAGGUGCACCUGCAGGCACAACUACACACUAAAGCUUCAUAGAAAAUGUUGUGCCGGGCUAGCAGAGGCACUCGCCUGCCUCAGCCCUCGCCUGCCUCAGCCCUCACCUGCCUCAGCCCUCACCUGCCUCAGCACUCGCCUGCCUCAGCCCUCACCUGCCUCAGCCCUCGCCUGCCUCAGCCCUCACCUGCCUCAGCCCUCACCUGCCUCAGCACUCACCUGCCUCAGCCCUCACCUGCCUCAGCCCUCACCUGCCUCAGCCCUCACCUGCCUCAGCCCUCACCUGCCUCAGCACUCACUGUGCCCAACGCUGAAAUAGAACCUAAAAUCCCACGCCCGAAACCAGCAGGGAAAUGAAUGAAACCUUCUGGAGGUGCUCACACGCAGCCCAGUCCACACAUGGGCUGUACGGGAGCGCUGGCGGCUCCACAGCUGCUGCAAUCACAAGAUGAAAUCAAUCCGGAGCUACAGCUGCAGAAAUUCCAGAAAUUCCUGCUCGGCUUGCCUGCAAUGCAAAGCAGGGUGUGAGCACAGGAGAACCAGCUGAAUGCUCAUCUCUCUGCUUCCUCCCAAAACCAGUGCUUGCUUUUCCUUAAAGAAAAUCUGGUUUACCCUAAAUUCAUCAGAAAAGAGCAGAUAAUUGGGUGAUACAAACAGUUGUAGCUCCAUGGUCGCCAACAAACAUUGAUUUCUAGGGUAAUUUCAGUGCGAAGAACUGCUGCUUGGUGAUGGGCAGUGGGGUGGGUGGAUAGUCAAGAGUAAGCAGUAAGAUACAUCAUUACCUAGUGAUUAAAAUGCAGUAUUAGUCAUUGAA